This 440-nucleotide ribosomal RNA is filed under the name uncultured bacterium. RNAcentral's name for it is "partial 16S ribosomal RNA". It matches the Rfam family "Bacterial small subunit ribosomal RNA", at positions 338 to 795 of the family's 1533-position model. The record is from RNAcentral.
CCUACGGGAGGCAGCAGUGGGGGAUAUUACACAAUGGGGGAAACCCUGAUGCAGCGACGCCGCGUGUGGGAAGACGGUCCUCUGGAUUGUAAACCACUGUCCCCAGGGACGAAGAUGACGGUACCUGGGGAGGAAGCUCCGGCUAACUACGUGCCAGCAGCCGCGGUAAUACGUAGGGAGCGAGCGUUGUCCGGAAUUACUGGGUGAAAAGGGAGCGUAGGCGGGACUGCAAGUUGGGUGUCAAAUCUACCGGCUCAACCGGUAGCCGCACUCAAAACUGCAGUUCUUGAGUGAAGUAGAGGCAGGCGGAAUUCCUAGUGUAGCGGUGAAAUGCGUAGAUAUUAGGAGGAACACCAGUGGCGAAGGCGGCCUGCUGGGCAUUUACUGACGCUGAGGCUCGAAAGUGUGGGGAGCAAACAGGAUUAGAUACCCGAGUAGUC